Molecule: transfer RNA, 73 nt
Filed under: Elusimicrobia bacterium CG1_02_37_114
Lineage: Bacteria; Pseudomonadati; Elusimicrobiota
Also listed under: 2 other names
Description: tRNA-Lys
Rfam family: tRNA
About the family: Transfer RNA (tRNA) molecules are approximately 80 nucleotides in length. Their secondary structure includes four short double-helical elements and three loops (D, anti-codon, and T loops). Further hydrogen bonds mediate the characteristic L-shaped molecular structure. tRNAs have two regions of fundamental functional importance: the anti-codon, which is responsible for specific mRNA codon recognition, and the 3' end, to which the tRNAs corresponding amino acid is attached (by aminoacyl-tRNA synthetases). tRNAs cope with the degeneracy of the genetic code in two manners: having more than one tRNA (with a specific anti-codon) for a particular amino acid; and 'wobble' base-pairing, i.e. permitting non-standard base-pairing at the 3rd anti-codon position.
Source: RNAcentral
GAGCCUGUAGCUCAGCUGGUAGAGCACCUGACUUUUAAUCAGGGUGUCGUGGGUCCGAGUCCCACCAGGCUCA